This 466-nucleotide ribosomal RNA is filed under the name uncultured bacterium. Its description in RNAcentral is "bacterial SSU rRNA". It matches the Rfam family "Bacterial small subunit ribosomal RNA", at positions 338 to 795 of the family's 1533-position model. The record is from RNAcentral.
CCUANGGGCGGCAGCAGUGGGGGAUAUUGCGCAAUGGGCGAAAGCCUGACGCAGCGACGCCGCGUGGGUGAUGAAGGCCUUCGGGUCGUAAAGCCCUGUCGAGGGGAACGAAACGGUUGCGACCUAACACGUCGCAGCCCUGACGGUACCCCUAAAGGAAGCACCGGCUAACUCCGUGCCAGCAGCCGCGGUAAUACGGAGGGUGCAAGCGUUGUUCGGAAUCACUGGGCGUAAAGGGCGUGUAGGCGGUCCGUUAAGUCUGAUGUGAAAGCCCGGGGCUCACCCCCGGAAGGGCAUUGGAAACUGACGGACUCGAGUCCCGGAGAGGAGGGUGGAAUUCCUGGUGUAGCGGUGAAAUGCGUAGAUAUCAGGAGGAACACCGGUGGCGAAGGCGGCCCUCUGGACGGUGACUGACGCUGAGACGCGAAAGCGUGGGGAGCAAACAGGAUUAGAUACCCCGNUANUC